RNAcentral lists this long non-coding RNA (501 nucleotides) under Gossypium raimondii (Peruvian cotton). RNAcentral describes it as "long non-coding RNA (GRAI_LNC003479)". The record is from RNAcentral. Lineage: Eukaryota; Viridiplantae; Streptophyta; Magnoliopsida; Malvales; Malvaceae.
GGAUUUAAGGUUUAGGGGUUAGAGGGUUAGGGGUUUAGGGAUUAAAAGUUAGGGAUUCAGGGGUCGAGUUAGGGUUUUGGGUUUAGAUUAAUUAUUUUUUAAUUUAUAUUUUAAAUAUGUUCUUAUAUAAUUGUAAAAGAGAUAAUAAUAAAUUUGUUUAGGGUUUUUAGUUUAGGGUAUAUGAUUAAUUUAAGAUUUAAAGCCGGUUUAGGAGUUCAUAUUUUAAGGUUUAGAGAGUAUGGAUUUAGGGAUUAUGAAUUAGGGAUUAUGGUUUAAGGGUUGGGAUUUAAGGUUUAGGGGUUAGGGGUUAGAUGUUAGGGGUUAAGAGUUAGGGAUUUAAGGUUUAGGGAUUCAUGGGUCGAGUUAAGGUUUUGAGUUUGGAUUAAUUAUUUUUUUAAUUUAUAUUUUAAAUAUGUUCUUAUAUAAUUGUAAAAUAGAUAAUAAUAAAUCCCAUAUAUUGAAAUUACGAGUAUAGUUUAAAUUAGUUAAGAGAUAUAUAAU